UCUACGGGUGGCUGCAGUGGGGGAUAUUGCACAAUGGGGGGAACCCUGAUGCAGCGACGCCGCGUGGGUGAAGGAGUAUUUCGGUAUGUAAAGCCCUAUCGGCAGGGAAGAAUUUAGACGGUACCUGACUAAGAAGCCCCGGCUAACUACGUGCCAGCAGCCGCGGUAAUACGUAGGGGGCAAGCGUUAUCCGGAUUUACUGGGUGUAAAGGGAGCGUAGACGGCAGAGCAAGUCUGAAGUGAAAGCCCGCGGCUCAACUGCGGGACUGCUUUGGAAACUGCCCGGCUAGAGUGCUGGAGUGGUAAGCGGAAUUCCUAGUGUAGCGGUGGAAUGCGUAGAUAUUAGGAGGAACACCAGUGGCGAAGGCGGCUUACUGGACAGUAACUGACGUUGAGGCUCGAAAGCGUGGGGAGCAAACAGGAUUAGAUACCCGGGUAGUC
Molecule: ribosomal RNA, 441 nt
Filed under: uncultured bacterium
Lineage: Bacteria
Description: partial 16S ribosomal RNA
Rfam family: Bacterial small subunit ribosomal RNA
Source: RNAcentral